CCGGCACGGGUGAGUAACACGUAUCCAACCUGCCGUCUACUCUUGGCCAGCCUUCUGAAAGGAAGAUUAAUCCAGGAUGGCAUCAUGAGUUCACAUGUCCGCAUGAUUAAAGGUAUUUUCCGGUAGACGAUGGGGAUGCGUUCCAUUAGAUAGUAGGCGGGGUAACGGCCCACCUAGUCAACGAUGGAUAGGGGUUCUGAGAGGAAGGUCCCCCACACUGGAACUGAGACACGGUCCAA
This 239-nucleotide ribosomal RNA is filed under the name uncultured bacterium. RNAcentral describes it as "partial 16S ribosomal RNA". It matches the Rfam family "Bacterial small subunit ribosomal RNA", at positions 100 to 334 of the family's 1533-position model. The record is from RNAcentral.